Molecule: long non-coding RNA, 1900 nt
Filed under: Salmo salar (Atlantic salmon)
Lineage: Eukaryota; Metazoa; Chordata; Actinopteri; Salmoniformes; Salmonidae
Description: lncRNA (ENSSSAG00000116161.1)
Source: RNAcentral
GUCAUCUAGGAGGAGGGCCUUGAAGGUGCCCUUCACUGGGGUGGACAAGCUACCUGAAGGAACAUUUGUGGAUGAGUUCAUCACAGCUGGGGAGCCCCUUCAGUGGCUGGUGGAGAGGGGAGGUAACAGAUACCAUGGCCUGGAUUGUAACACACAGCAGAGUGAGGAUGACAAUAUGGUGAAGACACAGGUUCAGGAGCUUCUGGAGAAGGCAGAGGAGCUGGUUAAAGACAACCAUGGCUGGUAUUUUGCAGCUAGGAGUAGGAGCAGGCAAGGAGGGCGGUUGAGGAGGGUGAGGGAGAAGGCACAGAGGGUCCGGAUGAUCUUUGCACUUUGUCGGGCUGGAAAAGAGUGGAAAAAAGUUGACAGGAACACCAUCUUAGAUCAGAGGGCCUUUUUAGUCGAGGACAGAGAUGGAGCAGAGCCUGAGGAGGCAGGCUGAUGUGGUCGGAGGCAAGGUCACCAUAGUAGACACCCUCAACUGGGACUGGGUUUCUGUGAGGCGCACAAUGAAGCAAAGGGCCACCCUCCUCCAGCCCAGCCGCCAUAUAACCACCACAGGUUCUAGGAUAGGGUAGGGUCAGAGACCUGAACUGGGUACCGGAAUGGAAAACACGCAACACAGGAUUAUCAAAAAUAGUUUUAUUACAAAGAUCAUGUACAAACAGGGCUGUACGGGGUGGGCUUGGAAUCGCACCUAAAAGGAAAGUUAGUGUCUCAGUCUAAAGCACAAAAUGGCUACUGCAAUAAUUUAGUGGUUACAUGCAAUGUUCAAGUCUUUAAAGUAUCUUAGUCGGCACAGCAAAGCACACACUGUAAUCAAUAAGGAUGAAAUAUCAUAAGGUCUUCAGACUAAAGUGCACAUGCAAUAAAUAGGCAAGCCCCUUAAAUGUAACAAUAGAUGCCAAACACAAGAAUGACCUCGCUGGCUGUCUACACAGCUAAACACAAGUGUACUCCGGAUACUUACAGCUAACACAGAGACUGUAUAUAGAAGAUGUCCUCUGUGAAUGGAAGUUCGCAAGCUACGAUAGGUCUAGUGUGAGACAGCAACAGCUCCAUCCCUGUCUUUCCUUUUUGCUGCUCCAGGAAAUGCACAACCAUUUUGUAGGAACAGGUGGAGGUGCUUUCUGCUGAGCCACUUCUGCCACCAAUCAGAACACUCAAACAAUUCAUUCAGACAGACCAAUAGGAAAGCAUAUACAAAUCACAUGACAACCAUAAUUACUCAAAAAGAGGCAGCUUUACACCCACACCAUCAUCCUGGUGCUGUCCUUGGUCACUGACCUCAAGAGGCAUGGUUCCACACCAUGGUGCUGUUCACCUGCCGGGCUUGGCUGAGCCACACAGUUGUUGAGGAGCACAUUCAGAGGGGAGGGCUUGAGUUCCGCAGUUUGGAUCUGCUGGACAAAAUAGAGGAAAUUCAGACUGAAUGGUGAUGAGGCCUUCUUGCCCGUACACAGAGAUUAUGGGUCAGCCAUAGUAGAACAGCACUCCUGGAGCAUAUGCGGGUUAAGUGCCUUGAUCAAAGGCACAUCGACAGAACAUCCGUGUGUUGUUGAAUCCUACUGCAGCUGGAGAGAGAGACAGUUCUGACAUAUGGAAUUGUUUUAAGAUGGUCACACUAUGGAUUAUUUUCUAUUUCAUUUAUAAUUUUAAGACCCUUUUAGAUAUAAAGAAUAUAUACUUUUUUUUGUUUAUAAAAUAUAGAAUUUGGCCUUUACUACUAUAGCCCAGAUCAACGCAUUGAAUAACACAUUCAUAAAUGGCAAAAAAAGAUAGUAAAAAAAAGUAUCAUAAGAAACAAGGUUUUGAAGUGUUUGUCCUAUAUCUAGGAGAUAUAAGAAAAGUAUAAUAAAUAUGAGUCUCAGUCAACUUUGGACACACCUACUCAUUCAAG